RNAcentral lists this long non-coding RNA (15316 nucleotides) under Manihot esculenta (cassava). RNAcentral describes it as "long non-coding RNA (MESC_LNC005767)". Lineage: Eukaryota; Viridiplantae; Streptophyta; Magnoliopsida; Malpighiales; Euphorbiaceae. The record is from RNAcentral.
UAUUCAACCAUCAUUGAGGGAAUUGUCCAAUUUGGAAUCACUAGACCUCUCUUCAAAUUCUCUUGUUGGAAGGAUUCCUAUGCAGUUAACAGAUUUAACAUUUCUGCAAGUAUUUCGGGUUUCAGAUAAUCGACUUGAAGGACCCAUACCUGAAGGAAAGCAGUUCAACACAUUUGAUACAAGUUCAUAUGAAGGAAAUUUGGGAUUAUGUGGAUUUCCACUAGAAAAAUGCAAUAAUGGAGAGAGGCAAAAACCAGAAAUAUCCAAGGAAGAUGAUUCCAAUUCUAAAUUUGGAUUUGGGUGGCAACCUGUAGUGGCAGGGUAUGGAUGUGGAGUAAUAUUUGGUAUUGCAAUGGGAUAUCGUGUGUUUAAAACAAGAAAACCAAUAUGGUUUGUGAGGAUAUUUGAAGGACGAAGACGUCCAAAGCCAAAAAGAUUCAAAAACUAGGAUUUCUUGGUAUUUACAGGUAAUGUUUUGUAAUAUUUGUUUCUUCGCAUGUAAUUUCAUCUUAAUCAACUUUCUUUUUAACAUGAGUUUCUUACAAUUCUUCUUCUUUUUCUUUUUUCAUAAAAUUUCUAACAUGUUAGGUAGAUGAAGAAUAAGUGAGCAGAUGCAAAAUGAAGAUACAGAUCGGACAUGAAUGCAGUGGAAAACAUAGCAUUAUAUUUCUUUUUCUUUUUUUUUUUCUUUUAAAAAUAUUGUCUUUUACAUAUAUAUAAUAUAUAUAGAGGGAGGAGAAUUAAUAAAAUAAUUUCAAUUUCAUCGUCACUAUUUAAACUUUUACAUAUAUAUAAUAUAUAUAGAGGGAGGAGAAUUAAUAAAAUAAUCUCAAUUUCAAUUAUUAUAUAAUUAAAAUAAUUAUUUCAAUUUAUUUAAAAAUUAUUUAAAAUAAGAGAAUUAAUAAAAAGAAUAAUUAAAUUAAAUUCAUGCAAAAUCUUAAUUUCAAUUAGGAGGAUAAUGUGAAUAUAUAUUAUGAAUGACCUCUCAAAGGAGUUUAUGAAAUCUUUAGCAAGUCUCUUUGUGAAUAUAUAUUAAUUUUUAUGUUUACUUUUAAUUCCAUAAUUAAUAAUAAAUUUAGUAUAUUAUCUUUAAGACAUUGUAUGUUAUAAGAUAUUUAAGCAAUACAUUACAUGAAUUAAAUAACUUGAUGUAUUAUAGUAUAUAGUGAAUAUAUAAACAUGAAAAUGUGAGACAAAAUUUGAAAAAAUUAAUAAUAUUUAAUUUAUUAAUAUUAUUAUUUUAAUUAUCAAAUAAAAUUUAAUAUAUAGCACUCGCAUAUUUAAUUUAAUGAUAAAUACAUCUGAAUAAAUCUGAGAGAUUUUAAAUUUUAUUAUAUGUCUUAAGUCUCGAUUUUAAAAAUUAAACAGAAAGGUAUAAUUUAGUUUUAAAAAAUAAAACUUGUAAUGGGAGUUUUUGUUAAUUUUUAUUGUUUAAGUUGGGAAAAUUUUAUGAUAUUAUGUAAAAAUUUUAAAUUUAAAAAUUAUUUUUUUAUCUAUUAAUUUUAGGGUGAGUAUUUAGUUAGUUCGGUUUUAAAUCAAGUCAAAUUGAAUAAAUCAAAAAUUAAAAUUUUAGUAUUUAUAAAAAUCAAACCAAAUUGAUUUUAGUUAAAAAUCGAAUCAAGCUGAAUUAGUCUGAUUGAGUUGGAUUUUGUUCGAUUUGAUUGAUUUUAAUUUUUAAUAAAUUUUUUAUAUUUUAUUUUUAGAAUUUUAAAAUUUAAUUAAAAUAUUUUAAUGAUUUAAUUUCUUUAUAUUAUUAAAAAUAAUAUAUUAUUAUUAUUAAUCGGUUCGGUUCGUUUUUUUUUAUAAUUUUUUGAUCAAAAUUAAAUCGAAUCGAAAUAACUAAAAAUUUUUAAAAUUAAAAAUCGAAUUGAACAGAAAUGAAUAAAAAAUCAAACUGAAUUUUUAAAUUAAUUUGAUUCGAUCGAUUUAAAUUAAAUACUGCUCACUUCUAAUUAAUUUAAUGAUUUUAAAAAUAAAACUUUUUGAAUAUUUUUAAAAGUUUCCAAUAACUAUAUUUCAACCUUUUAGUCUAGUUUAAGAAAAAUAAAAUUUUAUUUAUAUCUAAAUUACUAAAAAAAAUAAUAUUUAUAUCAGUUUCAAUUUCUUAAUUCACCUUCAUCAAUAAAUAAAAAGAAUUGUUCCGAAUAAAAUUUCUUAAAUUAUCUUAAUAAUAUAAUUUUAAAGUUAUAGUUAAAUUAAAAAUCUUUACAUAUGACAAGUGCAUGAAAUUGUGAAACCGGUGAGGUUUUUUUGUGAUUUACAGUAAUUUUUGUGAAAUUUAAUAAAAUUUAUAAGUAAUUAGUCAUUAAAUUUUCAAUAACAAAUUAGUUUUUAAAUUUAUUUUUUAUUUAAAAUAGUUUUUUUAUUAAAAAAAUAUAAAUUACUGUUAAUUAAUUAUAGAUAAGAGAUUUUACAUUUUUUAACGAUGAAAAUACUCUUUUAAAUGUUAAUAUUAUUUUUAUAAUAGACCGUUAUUUUAUAUAUUAUUUUAAUAAUAAAAAAAUAAGAAAUUAUUAUUUUAAUUUUAUGAAUUUUAUUCAUUAUUUUUCUUAUUUAUUGUUAUAAUAAAUAAUUUUUAUUUUUAAAAUAUAAAUUUAAUAUUUUGUAAAUAUAAAAAUUACAGAUUUAUAAAUUAAUGAUUAAUUUUAUAUUUAAUUAAAAAUUAAUUUUUAUAUUUAAAAAUUCGUCUAAAUUAAUUUUUAUAAAUAUAAAAUUUUUUAUACUUCAUUAAAAUUAAAAAUUAAUUUUUAUACUCACAUAUUAUAGUUGGAGUAUGUUUAAAUUGAUUUUUAUAAGUAUAUAAAUUUUUAUAAUUAUAGAAAAUUGAUUUUUAUAUUUUAAAUAUUAAAUUUAUUCAUUUCGAUAAUAAAAAAAAUAAUGGACACUAAUUUUUGAAAAUUAAAAUAAUAAUUUCUCAAUUUUUAUAUUAAAUUAAUAAAUAAAAAUAAUUUUUUUAUUAAAAAAGAAAAUAUUAACCUCUUAAAAAAGUAUUUUAGUUAUUAAAAAAUUUAAAUUUUAUAAUCAAUGAUCAAUUAAUAGUAAUUUAUAUUUUUAUUAGUGAAAUAAUUAUUUUAUUAAAUAAAAAUUAAAUUUAAAAAUUAAUUUAUUAUUAAUGAGAGAUUAUUUUAUAAAUUUUAUUAAAAUUUAGAGAUAUUACUGUAAAUUAUUAUUAUUAUUUUUGGUCUUUUUAAAAGGGCUAGAGGGUGAGAAAACAAGUCCAGUUAGUAUACGGGUCCAAGUUAUGGUGCUGGGUUCGGGUCAAAGCCUGCCCAAAUUGUGGACAGAAAGCCCAAAAUGAAGCCCAUGUAUAACUUAUCCUUACUCCUCAGCCGUGCGACGCCUGAGCUGAAAGGUGAAAGUUGAAAGGUGAAAGGUGAAACAUAAGAACGUUUGAUGAGGGACGACCAGCAAAACGACAAAGUUAUUGACGUUUUAAUUGGCGCGUGGAAGCCCACUCCCUUCGUAAAAGUUGAGCUUGUACACCAGUCCCUCCUUCCUCGGCCAGUCCUCUCUCGUCUUCUGGUUCAGUUUGCUUCCAACCUACGAAAAGGUAAAUGUUUUUUUUUUUUUCUCAUUUUCCAAACCCUAAAUUUCGAAUCUGCUGUUACAAUUCUUAAUUCCCUCUAUUUUCAUUGACUUUUAAUAUGCAAUGUCUCUCUAAAAUCUGAAAAAAGAAGGAAAAAAGGAAAAAAGGAAAAAGAAAAGCUGCUUUCUCCCUAUUCUCAGUGCUGGAUCCUUUCACUACAUCCAUGGAGGAGUCUCACAGCAACCUCCCUACUAGCCAUUUACUGGGCUCUGUUCCUGUAAGCACUGGCUUUUUUAGCAUUGAUUAUGAUUGAUUGUUCAUGUUUCGAUGUUAUUUUUUUUGGUGGUUAUUCAUUCUUUGUUUGGCAUUUUGGGUUUUUUUAUGUCGAAGCAUUUUGGGGUUUAAUUUUGAAGUAAAGGUUUUGGUAAUCAAUUGCAUAAUCUACAUUGAUAAAGUUUUGGUUUGUUUGGAGAAGUCGGUGCUUUUUGGUUUUUGAAGAAAUAGGAGUUUAACUAUGACCGAGUUCAAUAGUAACGCUAUUCUUAAAUAUGGAAUUUUGUGGGUGAAAUAAAAGCUUUUUUUUUUUAAAGGAUAAUUUCAUUUUUAUUUAUGUUGAUUUAAGUGAAGUGCGUGAAGCUUGUUGAUGCAAAAUAGAUUUGGGUAAAAAUAGUUCAAUUAGAGCUUUUUUAAAAGCAUAAUUUCAUUUUUAUUUAUAUUGAUCUAAGUGAAGUGCAUGUAGCUUGUUGAUAUAAAAUAGAUUGGGGUAUUUGUCUUUUUCUUUUCCUGUUAAUCUUGUUUAAUAGAUAAUUUGAUUAGUGGUUUUUUAAAUGAAUAAUUUCAUUUUUAUUUAUAUUGAUUCAAGUGAAGUACAUUAAGCUUGUUGAUGCAAAAUAGAUUGGGGUAUUUGUCUUCCCCCCCUCUUAGUAUUGUUUUGCAGGUAAUCUGAUUUAGUCUCUUUCUUUUUCCUCCUUGCCUUAUAGGCAGUGGUCAGUGAAGAAAAAAGUACCACCACCUAUGAAGGUAUAAUUCAUUCUCAUAAAAAUGUUUGGCUAAUGAUCAUAUUGAACCUGUAUCCAAAAGCUAGUAUUUUGAAAAGAAAAAAUUGUUUGUGAAUUUGUAUGUAGUCCCCGAGGCAAAUAUGCAGACAUUCCCUCCAAAUAAUAAUAGGGGAGGAGGUAGCAGCCGUGGUUAUCAAACUCUUGGAAAUCUAUCGGGUAUGGUUGUUAAAUAUUUAAUUUCCAUGGUUUUGAGUGUCCUAUUCUGGUUUAUUGAUCUUGGCUUAUGUUCUUUUUAUCCUAAGCAUUUCUUGCUAUUAUUGAAUUCUUGUCUUGGUCAUAUAUGUUGUUAGGUUUAUGCAAAUUGGUUCUCAAACAAUGUGCAAAAAUUUACUUGUAUGCUAUGCAGAAUUUGUACAUGCAUAUAUGCAUGUUCACAUUCCUUUGCCUGUAAGGGCAAUUGCUUUGAUUGGAAAUGUGAAAAGUAAUAGGCUAAUAACACCAUUUUGGUGAAAUCNNNNNNNNNNNNNNNNNNNNNNNNNNNNNNNNNNNNNNNNNNNNNNNNNNNNNNNNNNNNNNNNNNNNNNNNNNNNNNNNNNNNNNNNNNNNNNNNNNNNNNNNNNNNNNNNNNNNNNNNNNNNNNNNNNNNNNNNNNNNNNNNNNNNNNNNNNNNNNNNNNNNNNNNNNNNNNNNNNNNNNNNNNNNNNNNNNNNNNNNNNNNNNNNNNNNNNNNNNNNNNNNNNNNNNNNNNNNNNNNNNNNNNNNNNNNNNNNNNNNNNNNNNNNNNNNNNNNNNNNNNNNNNNNNNNNNNNNNNNNNNNNNNNNNNNNNNNNNNNNNNNNNNNNNNNNNNNNNNNNNNNNNNNNNNNNNNNNNNNNNNNNNNNNNNNNNNNNNNNNNNNNNNNNNNNNNNNNNNNNNNNNNNNNNNNCCCGCAGCCACCCACCCACCCACUCGCUAAAGCCAGAGUCUCUUCUCUCCAUCCUUCGCGUCUCUCUCUCACGGCCAUCUCUCGCGUCUCUCUCUCACGGUCAUCUCGCGUCUCUCUCUCACAGCCGUUGCUCGCGGCUCGCAUCUCUCCGUGACGACCGUGGCUCGCAUCUCUCCCUUACAAUCGUGGUAAAUUAUAAUUAUGGAGUAGUUUAAACUUAAUUUUUUUAUAUUUUUGAAACUAUCUAAUACUAGUUUUGGAUGUCUAUAUUUUGAUGUUGUUUGAAUUAUUUUAUAAUUUAACUAUUAUAUUUGAUUAAGUAUAUUAGGUUAGAAGUUGUUGAUUAAUUUGGAUUUUAUGAUUAAUUGAUUGAAUUUUAUGAUUAAUUAAAUAUAUCAAUAACAUAAAUAUUUAAAAAUUUAUAUCAAUAACAUAAAUAUUUAAAAAUUUAUGUCAAUAACAUAAAUAUUUAAUUUGCAUUAAAAAGACAAGUAAUGACUUCGAGAAUUUUGAGUGAUAUCAUUAGUUAAAUGGUUGCGGAAAAAAUGUCACAGAAGUUAUGCGUAUAGAAUGGUAUACAAGAUGGAGAAGAAUAGAGUUUGAGUCAUAAUUUCAUACUAGAAAUUGACUUAAAUGUCUAAUAAUCAACUUACAAUAAGUAAAAAACGUGUUUGAUUUUAUAUGCACCUAAGAAUUUGAGAUUCCAUUGCUAGGUAAGAACAAAAACUUCAUUUUUUUUUCUCUAUUUGAUAUUAUUUAUUUGGGUAAACUACAAUUUAGUCCCUCUAGUUUAGUGAAAUACAACCUUUCGUCCCUCUGUUUUAAAAAAUCAUCAAUUUAGUCAUUGUGAUUUUUAAAAACUAUACCAUUGGUCCCUCCCGUUAGAUUUUCAGUUAAGUCACUUUUAAUUUUAAUUAAAAGACUAAAAUACCCAUAACAGCUUCUUCUCUAAUACUUUCCACGACUUUGUAUAUUUUCUUUCUUUUUCUCUUUCUUUCUCUCUCUCUUUCCAGAAAGAAAAAAAAUAAUGCACAGACAAAUUAAUAAAGGAUGUCGAUCACCAGUUGCUCACUCGAUACCAGCGGCGGAUGGGAGAGAAGAUAUCUGAAUAAAAAUUACAAGUGUGGCAUUAGGACUACUGUGAGGAUUUUCUGAAUCUGAAAGGAACAAGAACUCGCUCUCUCGACAUCAAUGGCUUCCAUAUCUCUUUUAUAGCUUCUGUUUCUAAUCCCAAAAUCCAUAUGAAAUGACGACACAGCACUGUUUGGCGAUGACAUUGCUACUUCUUCUUCUGCCUCCUCCGCUGAUAAUCUGUUCACAUCAAACCCUCUGCCUGAUCCGACCCGAUUCAAACAUCAUUAUAACGUUAAGAACAAAAAGUACCCGCAAGUUAUAAAGCGAAACAUGCAAAACUCAGAUCUUCAACACCGUAGCAAAGCUGUGAUGCAUUAAAAAUCACAGAAUAAAAAGGAGAAAAGAAUUUCACCUCAGAAUCAGUAAUUUGAUAUCGGACAACAAAUACAGAGCGUCGCCUCCUUGAAUUAUUAUCGGAAUUAACCUGUCCCCCGACAUAGCCAUUUCGACCAUUAGCUUUCCCUUCACCAACUCUCGAACCGUGCCUCGACACGGACCUCCCUCUUCUCUGCGACACACUGACUUUAUCCCCAGAGCUGACAUCAUCAAUUCUCGAAUAAGAACGGCCUCGAUCAGCAGAACUGAAGAACUGAACAGCGAGAUCGUCGAGAGUAACAUCCGGGAAACCCAAUCCCCUAACAGUGUUGACGAACUUCCCUCUUGGAAGGGGCGUGUCGCCAGAUAAGUUAUCCCCUGAUGGAGGCAAAGGCCGGGAGAAACGGCUGAGGCUCCGAGAGCGGUGGUGAGCCGAGGAGCUUUGAUUGGAAGAAGAGGAGUCAUCGGUGGACGAAGCAGAGGAUUUCGCAAUGGGGGUUCGCUUGGUGGUGGACCUGAACGCCGAAGUGGCCAUUUGGGAAGAAGCAUGGGUAUUUUAGUCUUUUAAUUAAAAUUAACGGUAACUUAACUGAAUCUAACGGGAGAGGCCAAUGGUAUAGAUUUUAAAAAUCACAGUGACUAAAUUGAUGAUUUUUUAAAACAGAGAGACAAAUUCUGAAGGAUUGAAUCGUGGAAGACUCAUGCUUAAAGUCGAUGUAAAAUCUUGGGUAUUUUGCGAACCAGUCAAUAGAGAGGUGAUCACUCAAUGAUCACUGUGUUGGUUUGUUUAGUUACUUUAAAUGGCUUGUCUACUUUUUAGCUUGUAAUCUGACUAUAGAUAAGCGUGGGCUGUCUUACUUGCAAUCAAGAAGUUACAUUUUCGGCGAUAAAGAGAAGCAUGGAGAAAAUAACUUGACAAGUUUAUUAUUUGGAGCUAUAUAUUUACUUAAUCAGACGUCCCAUUUCAUAAUGCUUCUUUUGUUAAGGCAAUAGAACAGAAGCUUUUCUUCUUUGUUGAAUCAUGUGUUUAUUCCCCAUGCUUUUGCCAUGUUAUUUUCAAAGCAUGGAAGUUAAUCUACCAACUCCACCCCAUGGCCUGGCAUGUAGGAUAUUGAUAUGCCUUUAACUUGUUCUUAAGUUUGCACUGGAUAGAGACUCUAUUUCUCCUAUUUUUGGUGUUGAAGUUUUAUUUUUCAGUUUUGCAGCUACUUUCAGUGAAAAGGUGACAAGAACAGUAAGAAAGUUCUCUCCACAUUUGGCAGCAAAGAUGAGGCCUCCUCACAUGUUAGUUGAUGCUCAGUUGCUUUUCUAUGUUUUUUUCUCGCGAUAGAAAUUAUGCUUACCACACUUGUAUUUACAGGCCUGUCAUUCGUGACCGUCCUUCAUCCAAAAAAUCAGUAUACAUCUGUGGCCAACCUCGUGGGGUGUUUGUCUUCUUAUUCUCAGCUGGUAGUUAGAUUUCUCAAAACUUUAUUCUCAAUCAGUAGUUCAGUACUGAUCUGUAAUGGUUCUAUGAAUUUUGCCUGAUCAAAUGAUUUUCUUUUCUCAGCCAGUUUUAUUCUGUGGUGCACUUCUGGCACUCUGCUGUUUGUUUUAUGGGCAUUUGGCAUCGGCCUCCUUGGUAAAUUCUUCAUCCUAUAGAUAAUGCUUUGAAUAAUUCCUCGCAUGAUAUUUCAGUUUUAAUGAGCCAGUAUAUUGUUGCUUGCAGUUACAGUUCUUCAUGCAAGUGUCAGGACACCUAAUCUGAAGGCACGCCUCAACACAUUCCGGGAAGAAUUUCGUGCUGUGUGGCGCAAUUAUAGUGAGCUGUGACUGCUCAUGGAGUUGAAGUGUACCACUCCAUCCCUGAUUCGCAACUUCAAUUUCAGUUAAGUUGCAAGUAUUCUUUGUACAUAUAAAUAUUGUCAAUUCAUUCGAUGGAGGAUGUUAGAAAAAAGAAAAAAAUUAUUCUGCUUGAUUUUCUUUUUUCCCCUUCUGUGUUAUGAAGUUCUCAGAUAUUUUUCUUAAAUAACUUUGACCUUCUUCUGUGAUUUACCUGGAGUUCGAAUGUCAAAGAAAGAACUGUCGUUUUAUUAUCCAUUUUAUUUCUUAUUGUUAUUAUUUUUUUUGUUGCAUCUAUUUAUUUGGAUGAGGAGCUUGUUUGAAUCUUGGACUAAUAUCAAAUUUAAGACAAAUAGUUUGUACUGUUCUCCUCUUCUACUGUAUCAGGGUAUGCCAUAAUUCAUUAGCUCUCCUCUUUGGCAACUUGUCUGGAUCGGUUCUUCAUGAACCAAAUCACAUCUAAAACAUAAAUAUAAUGUGUUUUUUUUUUUUUAAAUUAUGUUCAGUAACACCAAUUUAAUUUGCCUGAAAAGACAAGUAAUGACUUGAUCAUUCAUCUCAUUAACUUCUUAGAGGGACAAGGCAAGUGACAGGAGCCACACAUGGCCAUAAAGGUAAAUACACAAGCAUGGACUUUGAAGAGAAACCUGAGAUGAAUAUAUAUAAGUUUAACUCAGGAAAACCCCUUACAAACUAACCGGUCGCCCAAUCCAAAUCUGAAAAAAACCAAACUCACUGUCUAUACUGCGAAAAAGAGAUCUUUGUCCUGAAGUAUAAAUGAACUUUACUGUUUUUGAGUUAUUAUUCAAAAUUUGUCUAAAAAAAAAAAUAUCGAACUGAUUCGAUUUUUAGGUGAGUUAAAUUCGAAUUUAAUUUUUAAAUUCACUUAGUAAAUGAUUUAAAUUUGAGCUCUAUAAUAUUUGAUUUGUUAAAACUCGUGAACUUAAUUCGUUUUCGAGUUUAUAAAUAAGCUCACUAACAGACUUACGAACAGUUUUAUUAAAUAAACUGAAAUUAAUAUUAUAAAAAAAUAAAUUAGUUUUACAUAUAUUUUUAUAAAUCAAAUUUAAAUUUAUUAAAAUUUAAUUUUAUAUAAUUUAAUUAUAUUUUUAAAACUUACAUAUAUUCAAACUCUUAAAAUUUAAGAAUUCACUUUUUUAUAAAUUUAUGAGUUAAUUUAUAUAUAUAAUUAAAUUUAAUUUAAUUUAUAUAUAUAAUUAAAUUAAGUUUAUUUUUUAUAAAUUUACGAGUUAAUUUGUAUAUAUAAAUAAAUUAAAUUAUUUGUAAAUUAAAAUUUAUUAUAUAAAUAAAUUAAAUUAUUUAUAAAAUAUUAAAGAUUAAAUUCAAUAAAAAUUUAAUUUGUCUAAAUUCAUUUACUAUAUGAGUUAAAUUUAAAUUUAUCAAUAUUUGAUUCAAAUUCGAAACGAGUAAAAUUUAAAUUUAAUUUAAAUUUAAAUUUUUUUUAAUGAAUCUAGUUUGAGUUCUUUAAAUCUCAUCUUGACUCUAUUUAUUUAGAUCUGUACCCUCGCCCUCGCCCUCGCCCGUCACAAUAUCCAAAUCCAACUUUUCUGAGUUAGCUAGAAAUAGCCACCAUUGAAAGAAUCUCUCAUAUCUCCUACAAAACUCAAAAGUAACAAUAAGUUGAGGAGUUGCCGGUCACAAUACCUACAAAUCCAACUUUUUCUAAUUAGCUAGAAAUAGCCGCCGCUCACAGAACCUCUCAGAUAUUUUUAAAAAUUCAAAGGUAACAACAAGCUGAGAGGGGUGCAAUCGAUCAGAAACAUGAUCCAUGCACCUUCGGGCUCUGAACCACGAGGGGACCGACUACGAGAGACACUGAGGUUACACUUACAAUUUCGAAAAUAUACUAUUUGUCAAUAUUUAUUUAUCAUUAAUAAAAUUUUAUCAAAUAAAAAAAAUAUCAUUUUAAAUAAAGGGACGAUUAUAUUUAAUAAAUUUUUUAUUUAAAAUAUGAACAAUUAAAGUGAUAUAACGAUAAAUUUAUUUAAAAAAAUAUCAAUUCUAAAAUUUAAUAAAAAUUUACAAUCAUUCAAAAUUAAAGUCAGUUAAAAAACAUUUAAAUGUGAAAACUGAAGAGAUUGAACCACCUGCAAACAGUCAUAAGAAUGCAACUAUUAAAAAAUAAAAAAUUUCGUCACAAAAAUCAAAAAGUGAGGAAAAGCUAAAAUUUCAACAAUAAACUAUACUCUCAGAAUUUUCCACAAUAAAAUCGUAACUAAUAAAAUUUUGAGAUUGAAACAAAAACUCAUCAAUUUGAUAAAACCAACUGAAAUUAUCCAAACUUUACAAAUCUCGGCGGAACAGAAUUGCCAAAAUCAUGCAAUCACAGUCUUGUCGGUCUAUUUCAGCAGCCGGUCUAUUUCAGCCGCGAAAAUCUCCAUAUAACCCAGUUUCCUACAUAAAUAACAAAAAAUUAUAUUUUCCACAUAAAUAAUAAAAAAUAGUCAAUUUUUCAUAUUGAAACUUUACAAUAAAUACAGUACCAUCAUUUCCAAUAAACUUAUUUCACCGUUUCAAAAGUUACCAAAUAUUUAAAUAAAUUUUAAUUCUCAUAGAAUCCAACAAUAUAACUUAUAUUUUCUUUCAAAUAAAUAAAAAUUAAUUAUACAACCAAGAAUUUCUUUUCCUAUAUCUUUAAAAUUAACAUUAUUAAAUUGUCAAUUUUUAGAUUAAAAGCCACUUUUUAUCUAAAAUUAUAUAUUAUAUUGAGAAGACUAAUAGCAUUAAUUAUUAUUAUUUCUUUUCAUUUUUACUUUAUAUCUCCUAGACACGGUAAUUAAUUUUAUUAUUUUCCAAACUUAUUUUAUUAUUUUUCUUUCACUUUCUUUUAGUUACGUCACUUUUGAAAUAAUUACAAUAAACUCGAGCUCUUAUGAAAAUAAAUUAUCAUUAUAUUAAUAUUUGUAUUUAUUUUUAUUUGUUAAUUGUAUACACUUUAAUUAUUUAUACAUAAUUUUUUAUUAUAAAAAUUUUGUCUAGUAUAAUUUUUUAUUAUAAAAAUUUUGUCUAGUAUAAUUUUUUAUUAUAAAAAUUUUGUCUAGUUAUAUUAAGUUUAUUUUAUAGAAAAUUAAAUUUAUUUUAUUUGCAACUUUUUAUUUUUUUUAAAUUUCUAUUAGAUGCUCGUAGAAAUAAAUGUUACAAUUUUUUUAUUAUAAUAAAAUUGUAUCUUUAUUUUAUUUAUAUAUAAUAAAUUUUACUGUCAAAUUAAUUUAAUUUUUUUAAUAUUGUGAUUAUAAGCGUAUAUAUAUUUAAUAUUGUGCAUUUUUUUAUAUAUUUAUACUAAUAAAUAAUUUAUUAUUAAUAUUUAAAGAUAAUAGCGGGUUGAAUACUCAAUCUAAUUAAAUUUAUUUUAAAUUCGAUUAAAAUUUAUUAUUAAUUUAUUUAAAAAAUAUUUAAAUUCAUUUAUUUUGUGAAGUUUAAAACUUUAUCUAAUUUGACUUCCCUCGAAACUUUUUUUAAAAAUUUAUAUCAAUAACAUAAAUAUUUAAUUUGCAUUAAAAAGACAAGUAAAGAUGGAGAAGAAUAGAGUUUGAGUCAUAAUUUCAUACUAGAAAUUGACUGAAAUGUCUAAUAAUCAACGUACAAUAAGUCAAAAACGUGUUUCAUUUCCAUUGCCAUGUAACAACAAAAACGUGUUUCUCUAUUUGAUAUUAUUUAUUUUAUAUUUUAAUAAUUUUUAUAAAAUUAUAUAAAACUUUUAUUUUUUUAAAAUAAUAAUUAUUUUAAUUAAAAAAUUUAAUUUCUUUAUUCCAAAAAAAGAAAUUAUUAUAAAUACCAAAUGCUUACCCUGAUUUUUUAAUAACUCAACUCCCUAUCUUCAUCAUCAAAAUUUGCUAAAGAGAAUGGCUAAUCUACUUUGGUUUGCUCACUCUAUCUGCCUUCUUUUGUUUCACUUGCAUUUUCAAGCUUUCCCUUCUCUAUCUUUUUCUUUCAAUUCCUCCUCUGCAGCCAUACAGUGCCAAUAUGAUCAGAGUCUUGCCUUACUCCAAUUCAAGACAUCGUUAUCCGUUAAAAGUGCUCCUUCUCCCUGGAGCUUCCUUCACCACCCUAAGCCUUAUCUCAAGACAGAGUCUUGGAAAGAGGGCACUGAUUGCUGUUGGUGGGAUGGGAUUACAUGUGAUAUGGAAACGGGUAAUGUAAUUGGCCUUCACCUUUCUAAUAGCUUCUUGUAUGGUCCUAUCUAUUCUAACAAUCCUCUUUUCUCUCUUCGCCAUCUCCGAAAACUCGACUUGUCUUUAAAUGAUUUCAACCACUCUCGAAUUGUUCCUCAGUUUGGCCAGUUUUCCAAGUUAACACAUCUUAAUCUAAGCUAUUCUGGUUUUGUGGGUCAAAUUCCUUCAGAAAUUACUUACCUGUCAGGUUUGCUAUCUCUUGAUCUUUCUUGGAAUUAUGAUUUGAUAUCAGAAACCACUAUUUUUACCAAGCUUGUUCAAAACCUAACCCAAUUACGGGAAUUGGACUUGAGUGAAGUAAACAUGUCUGUGGUUGCACCUAGUUCCUUGAUGAAUUUGUCUUCUUCUUUGACAUCUCUCAAACUUGAAUUUUGUGAAAUGCAAGGAAAAAUCCCCGAUAUCAGUCGUCUAUCUAAAUUGGUUUCACUUGAUCUUUCUUGGAAUUUUGGUGGUUUGACAAUAGAACCAAUGAUUUUUGACAAGCUUGAUAGAAAUCUAACCAAGAUAAGAGACUUAGCCUUCGGAGAUGUAAACAUGUCCAUGGUUGAACCUAGUUCUUUGAUGAAUAUCUCUUCUUAUUUAUCAUCACUUGGACUUCGAUAUUGUGAAUUGAAAGGGAAAUUUCCAGACAACAUAAUUCAACGAUCAAACCUCCAACUGCUUGAUUUAUUGGGUAAUGAAGAUCUCAACGGUUCCUUACCUCGGCAUAACUGGAAUAAUUCUCUCAGGUCUUUGUCUCUUUCUUUGACACAAAUUACAAUAUAUUUGGACCAUGAUUUUAUCAGUAAUUUGAAGUCUUUAGAAACUUUGGAGCUCUGUCAAUGCAAUUUUAGAGUUUCAAAUUUGAAAUUUUUGGGUAUGUUGACUCGACUCAUUACGUUGGAUAUCUCCUUUAAUAAUUUCAGUGGUCAAAUUCCAUCUUCACUUGGAAGUCUUAAGCAGCUCUCUUAUUUAUACCUUUCCGAUAACAAUUUCAGUGGUGAGAUUCCCUCCUCUUUUAAAAACCUUAAACAACUUCAGGAAUUGUGGCUCCAAAAUAACCAUUGUAGUGGUCCCAUUCCUCAUUAUUUUACAAACUUCACACUACUUUAUGUUUUAUAUUUAUCAAAUAAUAAAUUCACAGGCCCCAUCCCUUUCCAAGUAGGCGGGUUUUCAAGUCUAAUAUCCCUAUAUUUAUCUAAUAACUUAUUAAAUGCAACAAUACCACCCUCUGUGUUUAUCCUACCUCAGUUGCGCUAUUUAUUGCUCGACAAUAACCAGCUCACCGGUCGUUUAGGUCCAUUCCAAGAAAAUCCAUUGGUUCAUAUUGAUUUGAGCAAUAACAAGUUGUAUGGCUUCAUUCCAAGCUCAAUUUUCAAACUUGUGGACUUGAAUGUUCUCAUUCUUUCAUCCAAUAAAUUGAUAGGAGAAGUUUCUUCAGCAGUUUGCAACCUAAAUUCUCUCAAAAUUCUUGACUUGUCAAACAACAGUUUGAACGGCUUCAUCCCACAAUGUUUGGGAAAUUUCAGCAAUGAUCUCUCGGUGCUGCAUUUGGGCACGAACAAUUUCCAAGGAACCAUCCCUGAGACGUUUUCAGCAAGAGGCAGCUUGAGAUAUUUGAACUUCAAUGGCAAUCAAUUGCAAAGGAGAAUCCCUCUGUCCAUUUCUAAUUGUAGAAAUUUGGAGAUUUUAGAUCUUGGAAACAAUAAUAUAGAUGACUCAUUCCCCCAUUUCUUGGAAACUCUUCCGGAGCUGCAAAUUCUAAUUCUGAAAUCCAAUAAACUCCAUGGAUUUGUGAAAGGGUCCUCUACCAAUUAUUCCUUCUCAAAGCUGCGAAUGUUUGACCUCUCCGAUAACAUGUUGAGCGGGCCAUUACCUUCAGGGUAUUUCAAUAAUUUCAAAGCAAUGAUGAACUUUGAUGUCAAGAUGGAGUACAUGAGGACACCAAAUUUUUCUUACGAUUAUUCUGUGCGUCUGACACUCAAAGGAGUUGAGAUUGAGUUGGUGAGAAUCCAAACACUUCUUACAACCAUUGAUUUGUCAGGCAACAAAUUCACAGGGGAGAUCCCACAGUCUAUUGGAAAGCUUAAAGCACUUAAGUUGCUCAACUUUUCUCACAAUCAACUCACGGGCAAUAUUCAACCAUCAUUGAGGGAAUCGUCCAAUUUGGAAUCACUAGACCUCUCUUCAAAUUUUCUUGUUGGAAGGAUUCCUAUGCAGUUGACAGAUUUAACAUUUCUGCAAGUAUUUCGGGUUUCAGAUAAUCGACUUGAAGGACCCAUACCUGAAGGAAAGCAGUUCAACACAUUUGAUAAAAGUUCAUAUGAAGGAAAUUUGGGAUUGUGUGGAUUUCCACUAGAAAAAUGCAAUAAUGGGGAGAGGCAAAAACCAGAAAUAUCCAAGGAAGAUGAUUCCAAUUCUAAAU